Molecule: ribosomal RNA, 797 nt
Filed under: Bradyrhizobium sp. TSBF-523
Lineage: Bacteria; Pseudomonadati; Pseudomonadota; Alphaproteobacteria; Hyphomicrobiales; Nitrobacteraceae
Description: bacterial SSU rRNA
Rfam family: Bacterial small subunit ribosomal RNA
Source: RNAcentral
UUCAAGCUACGAGUCUAAACUGCACAUGGUGAAAUACGCUCUGCUGCAGACGGGUGACUAACGCGUGGUAACGUACCUUUUGGUUCGGAACAACACACGGAAACUUGUGCUAAUACCGGAUAAGCCCUUACGGGGAAAGAUUUAUCACCGAAAGAUCGGGCCGCGUCUGAUUAGCUAGGUGGCGAGGUAAUGGCUCACCAAGGCGACGAUCAGUAACUGGCCUGAUAGGAUGAUCAGCCACAUUGGGACUGAGACACGGCCCAAACUCCUACGGGAGGCAGCCGUGGUGAAUAUUGUACAAUGGGGGCAACCCUGAUCCAGCCAUGCCGCGGGAGUGAUGAAGGCCCUAGGCUUGUAAAGCUCUUUUGUGCGGGAAGAUAAUGACGGUACCGCUAGAAUAAGCCCCGGCUAACUUCGUGCCAGCAGCCGUGGGAAUACGAAGGGGGCUAGCGUUGCUCGUAAUCACUGGCCGUCAAGGGCGCGUAGGCGGGUCUUUAAGUCAGGCGCGAAAUCCUGGAGCUCAACUCCUGAACUGCCUUUGAUACUGAGGAUCUUGAAUUCCGUAGAGGUUAGUGGAACUGCGAGUCUCCGCGUGAAAUUCUGAGAUAUUCCGCAGGAACACCAACUGGCGAAGGCAGCCUCACUUGGCCCCGAUACCUGACGUCUGAAUCCACCUAAAGCGCUGCGGGAGGCAAAACAAGAAUUUUGAUUCCCCUGGGUUAAUCCAAUGCCCGGUAAUACAAUCGAAAUGCCCCCGCCGCUUAGUGGGGUCUUCACCUUCCCUUAGUCGGGCGCGU